GUCCCCUGGAGCCCCACAGACACGCAUCAGGGCAAGUUCUCCUUGCAUUUCCAGGAGGCUCCGGCCCCUCUCAGUUCCCAGUUCCAGCGUGUGACGACGGAUUUCCUACGCUGACCUCACGCUCGCUGCGCCCAGGAGUAAAGGUUCAUGAACUAAUCGCUGCAGCUGCAGCAGCGUGAGAAAGCAGGCGUGGGCGAGGAUGCGCGGACAGCCACUGAGUAGGGAGCCUUCCGCCGACUCUGUUGGAGUCACGCUGUCCGUGUUUCAUCUACUUAAUUUUCAUGGAGACCCUAUCAGGCAGAUUGGAGAGUGCCUACCCCCGGGACCUCAUUUAACUUUAACCACAUCUUCGAAGAUUCUAUCUCCAAAUACAGCCACAUGCUGAGUUCAGAGUAUCAGCAAAAAAAAGGACCCUCCCCCGCAUUCCCUGCCAGCUGCACAUGCUCUGCUGUGAUUGGUCAAAGGCUUCCCAGGAGCUCAGAGCCCUGGGGCCCGAGGAGCAGCCCCACACCCCGCGUCCGGUAUUCCCUGAUAGUCCCGUCCUCCCCAGAGCCACUCUCCUUCCAUCCACAGUGUCCGAGCUCAGAGCUCCUCUGUGGUCCCCCUGUUUGUGAAAGCAAGUUCAUCCUCCUCGGCACAACAGCCCAAGUCCCCUGCCUGUGUCCCGACUAGGAGCAUGGACCUAGGGAACAAAUUGAUUAAACUCCAAUUCUUUCUCUAA
This is a long non-coding RNA of Phyllostomus hastatus (greater spear-nosed bat), 721 nucleotides long. RefSeq lists it as uncharacterized. NCBI's taxonomy places the organism in Eukaryota, Metazoa, Chordata, Mammalia, Chiroptera, Phyllostomidae. The record is from RefSeq and is a predicted model, not a curated record. The transcript has 3 exons.